UACGUAGGGUGCAAGCGUUACUCGGAAUUACUGGGCGUAAAGCGUGCGCAGGCGGUGAUGUAAGACAGAUGUGAAAUCCCCGGGCUCAACCUGGGAACUGCAUUUGUGACUGCAUCGCUGGAGUACGGCAGAGGGGGAUGGAAUUCCGCGUGUAGCAGUGAAAUGCGUAGAUAUGCGGAGGAACACCGAUGGCGAAGGCAAUCCCCAGGGCCUGUACUGACGCUCAUGCACGAAAGCGUGGGGAGCAAACAGG
Molecule: ribosomal RNA, 253 nt
Filed under: uncultured bacterium
Lineage: Bacteria
Description: partial 16S ribosomal RNA
Rfam family: Bacterial small subunit ribosomal RNA
Source: RNAcentral